Molecule: unclassified non-coding RNA, 215 nt
Filed under: Hevea brasiliensis (rubber tree)
Lineage: Eukaryota; Viridiplantae; Streptophyta; Magnoliopsida; Malpighiales; Euphorbiaceae
Source: RNAcentral
AUUAAAUUAUUUUAUGUUACUAAACAAAAGUAAUCAAAUAUAUAAUGUAAUCACUAUUACAUUACACUUUCGAUUGCAACAAUACAUCAUACUAAACAUGGUCUCAGGUUACAUUUGAUAGAGCAUAAUGUAAUACAAUAUAAUUAAUUAUGUAACGCAAUCAAAGUUGUAAUUGUCAUUACAUUUUUAUAUUUGGUUGCAAAAUAAAAAUAUAA